CCUACGGGAGGCAGCAGUGGGGAAUAUUGCUCAAUGGGCGAAAGCCUGACGCAGCGAAGCCGCGUGAGGGAUGAAGGUCUUCUGAUCGUAAACCUCUGUCAGCAGGGAAGUACGGUCACUCUGCUAAUCAGCAUUGAAUUGACGGUACCUGCAAGGAAAGCACCGGCUAACUCCGUCCCAGCAGCCGCGGUAAUACGGCGGGUGCGAGCGUUAAUCGGAUUUACUGGGCGUAAGGCGCUCGUAGGCGGUAUGUCAAGUCAAGGGUGAAAGUGCCCGGCUCAACGUUGGAACUGCCGUUGAAACUGGCAAACUGGGGUGUGUGAGAGGAGAGUGGAAUUCCAGGUGUAGGAGUGAAAUCCGUAGAUAUCAGGAGGAACAUCAGUGGCGAAGGCGACUAUCUGUAACAUAACUGACGCUGAGGAGCGAAAGCGUGGGUAGCAAACAGGAUUAGAUACCCGAGUAGUC
RNAcentral lists this ribosomal RNA (465 nucleotides) under uncultured bacterium. RNAcentral describes it as "partial 16S ribosomal RNA". It matches the Rfam family "Bacterial small subunit ribosomal RNA", at positions 338 to 795 of the family's 1533-position model. The record is from RNAcentral.